Molecule: small RNA, 916 nt
Filed under: Histoplasma ohiense
Lineage: Eukaryota; Fungi; Ascomycota; Eurotiomycetes; Onygenales; Ajellomycetaceae
Description: hypothetical lncRNA
Source: RNAcentral
UCAUUCGCCAUCUCUACCUGAUCUCCUUGCAAAACCUCCCUUUUCCCUAUUUCACUCUCCUUCCCCUUCGUCCUAUUCUUCUCCCGCCUCGCCCGUCCUUCCUCCAACAGCAAAAUCUGCUCCGUUGGUGCCUGUCCCAGCGCGGCAGGUGUCCUCUCCCAUGCCGGUUGCUGAAUCAACUGUACACGAAUGUACAUAGCCCGCUCCGCACACUCGUCUGAACACCACUUCUCAAUCUGCUCCUUCGGGACAACCUUCAUCUCCUUUCCGCGGCCGCCAGGCCCGCUUCCCUUCUUCCCCCACACAACCCUGAACCUCGCCCGGGGAUCUUCCUUCCGAUGUUCAUUAGCACAAAGGGCGUAGCCACAGCGGCCGUCAAUGUUCCGCUCUAAGAUGAGAUUGUCAUAGUCGGACGGCUGGAAAGGGAUGAGGGCUUCUUUGAAAGCUUUGACAUCUUCGGGGAGCGGGGAAGAUGCUAAGGCAAUUGGGGAACUGGGGAAGGAGAGGAGCUCUUCGAUGCGGGAGAGGAUGAUAGCCUCAGUGUCUUUGCGGGCUUGGAUCUGACGGGCGUGGUGGAGGGCUAUAGCUAGAUGACGGGGGUCCGGAGCUGGUUUGCGGUGUUUCGUUAUGGCUUUCCGCCUGGCAAAGGUGGUUGUUGUUGCUGUGGGAGAGGGAUUUGUGUUUGCGGACGGUAGGGCUUCUUUAGCGAGAGAGGCGUGGAUUGAGGGGAGUGAUGAUUUCGCGUUGGAGGACUCUUGAGGCGCGAGAUUGUUGGACAUAUUGUCCUGUAUAUGCUGGUAGGAGACAGAAGCGGAUCAAUCAGCUGCGGGAAUGUGGGCUUAUUUUACUCCUUUUUUGCUUCCUCUUCCCUCUCUUCCUCGACCAGUUAGCCUCUUGAUGGGUCGAUACGACGAGG